UGAUUAAAUUAAGGGUUUUCAGACAGGGAAAUUAUCCUGGAUCAUCCGGUGGGCCCCAAUGGAAUCACAAAGGUCCUGAUAAGAGGGAGGGAAUAAGAUCAGAGAGGAAAAAAGGCAAUCUGAGGACCAAGCAGAGAGGAGUGUGAUUAUACUCAGCUGCUGGCUUUAAAGAUUCAGGGAGCCUUUAGAAGAUGGAAAAGGUGAGAAAACGCAUUCUCUCCUAAAGCUACCAGAGGACACCUAGCCUUGUCAACUCCUUGCUUUUGACCCAGUAAAACUCGCUUUGGACUUUGGAUCUCCAGAAAUGAUUGACACUGCAUGACAAGAAAAGUCCACGUGAGAACAGAGAGAGAAGGUAGCCAUUUACAAAUUAAGAAGAAAGGCCUCAGGAGAAACCAAACCUACUGACACCUUGACAUGGGGUCUUCCAGCCUCCAAAAUUGAGCAAACGAAUUUCUGUUGUUUCAGGCACCCAGUCUCUGGCAUUUUCUUAUAGCAGCCCCAGCACACUAAAGUACUAAGGAACUUCCUUUCGUGUUUUCUAGUGUAUGUCUGCCAGAGAUUAAGUCUUAAACAUAUCAUCCAUUUCAUACAUACAACUUUUGUUUGUAUGAAAAAUUCUUUAUCUCCCCUUCAUUUUCAAAAUAUAUUUUUGUUGGUUAAAGAAUUAUGGAUAGAAACUUUUUUCUUUUUCCUUAAGUACUUUAAAAUUAUUGUUCCAUUGUCUUAUGGUUUGCAUAAUUUUUGAUUAUCUGUGUUUCUCUGUAUAAAAUGUUUCUUUUUCUCUAGCUACUUUUUUUUUUUUUUUUGAGGAAGGUUAGCCCUGAGCUAGCAUCCAUGCCCAUCUUCCUCUGUUUUAUAUGUGGGACACAUGUCACAGCAUGGCUUGAUAAGUGGUGUGCAGGUCUGUGUGAUCUGAUCUGGUGAACCCCUUGCUACUGAAGCAGAGGGCAUGAAUUUAACCACUACACCACCAGGCUGGCUGCUCUCUGGCUGCUUGCAACAUAUGCUUGGGCCAGUCCCAGUGGCCUAGUGGUUAAGUUUGGUGUGCUCAACUUCAGCAUCCCAGGUUCAGUUCCCGGGUGUCGACCUAUACAACUUGUCUCUCAGUGGCCAUGCUAUGGCAGUGGCUCACACAAAAAAGAGGAAGAUUGGCAGUGGAUGUUAGCUCGGAGCAAAUCUUCUCCAGACCAAAAAAAAAAGCUUUUUCUCUUCAUCAUCCAUUUUAAGCAAUUUGUGCUGCCCUUGGUGAAGUUUUCUUUGUGUUAAUACUACUUGAGGUUUGUUGAACUUCUUGGACCUAUGGGUUCAUAAUUUAUAUCAAAAGUAGAAAAUUUUCAGCAUUAUUUCUUCAAAUAUCUUUUCCAUACCUCCCUCCUUUACUACAACCCCACUUGUAUUUUCAUUAGACUUCUUAAUAUUGUCCACAUGUCACUGAUGCUCUGUUGUAUCCCUGAAGUUGAAUUUUUCUUUCUUGCUUCACUUUCAAGUGUUUCUAUGCUGUAUCUUCGACAUCACUAAUAUUUUCUUUUGCAGAGUCUAAUCUGCUCUUAAUAUCUUCCUGCUUUGGAUUUCUUUAUAUCUUCCAUUUCUCUCCUCAGGAUGAUUCUAUUUUCUUCUACUUUCUUGAACAUACGGAGCAUAUGUAUAAGAGCUGUCUUAACAUUCUUAUCUUUUAAUUGUAUUGCCUCAGUUUUUUGUGAGUUUUCUAUUGAGUUUUUUCCUCCAAUUUAUUGAUUCUAUAUUCUUGCUUCUUUGCAUACCUGUUAAUUUUUUAUUGGAUAAAUUACAUUGUAUACGAUAUGAUUUUGAUUGCUGUCAGGUGGAGACACAAAAUAUCCCCGGUCCUGUUGUGGCCCCCGAAAUUAGCUGAUCUAUUGCUUUUGGGUGAUUCUUUCUUCAGUCUUGGGUAAUUUCUUCUUGUGAAUGUAUAGACCAUUACUUGCCGAGGAAACCCUUACGCAGAUCUCCGGAGCUCCCGCUGUGUGCAGUUUCAGCCUCUCUGAUACUCUGACGGAAGUCUAGCUCCUUGGCCUCCCCAAGCAUGAUUCUCUUUCUCUUCUACUCUAUAAAAUUGUCAGGUUCUAUUUGUGUGCCCCAUCUCUAUGCUGUGGCCUGGAAACUUCCCCUAGGCAGUAAUGUGGAGCAGUUGAAUAG
RNAcentral lists this long non-coding RNA (2157 nucleotides) under Equus caballus (horse). Its description in RNAcentral is "lncRNA (ENSECAG00000055437.1)". Lineage: Eukaryota; Metazoa; Chordata; Mammalia; Perissodactyla; Equidae. The record is from RNAcentral.